CCAGGUUGCUCCCGGGAGCCUCCAAUGCCUUGACCUCUUCCAAUGUCACCUACGGUCCCUUUAGUCUCAGCCCCAACAAAAACUUUAAUGCAGAGGAAAAGCCUGGACUGGUUUCACAGGCCUUUUAAAAAGCGGACUUAAAAGUUGCUGGCAAUGCAUUCCUUGUCAUCCGAGGCGAGGGCAAGCCCUCGCUGAAGUCUGGGUGACCCGUGUCGUUUUCCGGAGCGCAGGGUAGAGCGGCAGGAGCGGCAGCUAGUUCGGCAGGAAAUCUGUCGGAAGAUGAAGAAACCGAGAUAGGAGGUAGGGUGGGCGACUUCCCCAGGAAAAGUUCUGGAGAAGCAUCCAGAGGUGAUCCACGUUUCCUUUAUGUGCGGGAAUCGAGAUGACUUUAGUGUUACUGACCCUUUUCCAGCAUCCCUGUGAAUAUUUGUUUUUCUUCUUGGAAAGGAAGAAACUUACCCAGCCCGUGAAAGACACUCCAACUCAAGGAACUGUGGGGUCGCCCCGCAGUUGCAUGGCUUCGAAUUGAUCGACCGCGGACAUGCUCGGAACUGCUGUUUACAUGUGUUCACUUGUGUUUGACCUCACUGUACUGACUUGGGGCGAUUCGGCGAAUGUGAAAUCCCCCGUAUGUACUGUUUCCUUCUAAGCCCGCUGACCAUUCUGGAGGAUCUGGAACCCUCUUCUGGAAAGGGGUGCCUAUCAUUACUUUAUGGGGCAGCAGCCUGGAAAAGUUCUUGGGGACCAGAGGAGGCCAAGCUUGCCUGCCCUGCACUUUAUCAAAGGAGCAGGGAAGAAGGAAUCAUCGAGGCACGGGGGUCCGCACUGCAAUGUCUUUGUGGAACACGUUUGCCGAGGAGAGUGCACUUAAGUCGUUUCUCGGAUCAGAGUCCACGAUCCUGCUCCGACCCAAGGCGUGGGCUCUCCCCGAAGAUCCUUCACUGCUUUAGCCAUGGAGGGGCUCUUAUCGUAUCCUCAGAGUGGCCCGUGCUCCCCAAAGGGUUAAGACCUACAGAUCCUGGUGGACGCUAAUAUCCUUGACCUUUUCGGUCCUGAGUAGGACUUGAAAAUGCCCACUUUGGAGCCUCGUGGGAAAAAAAUGCAGUGGGGAAGCAGUAUCCUUUGCGGAUCGAGGAAACCCGGCUGUUUCUAGGUGCUUUGCCUUACCCAGGAGUGAUCGUUUCCCCCGGCGAUGGGGCUUCUAGCUUCCCCUGUCUCCCUGUUUCGCAUGACAUUUGGGGCCAGAAAGGGUGCCGUCGACAUUUGCAUGAACAGAGUUGGCAUUUGACUGCAGACUGUCUGUAUCCCACUGCACCUUUCCAGUAAUUCCGCGUGAAGUUUUAAAGCGAAGGCUCGGCUUAGACUCCUGCCUGCUACAGGGGCCGGCCGUGGACCACUUAAUUAGGGCCCUGGCCGUCGUGCUGUAGCCUGACGUUUUUCGAACCGUGUGCUUCAUAUAGGAAUAUCGACCCCACCCGCUCCAUUAGCGAAUGUUAGAAGAGCGCAUGCGGCAUCUGCUUUGAAAUUCAGCCUCAGAUGCCUUUUAACGAUGGGUGACCACGGUCAACAGAGGUCUCUGUGCCUUGCACUUGCAUGUGACCGUUGAGGUUUUACUUUCUGGCAGAAAAAUAUUUGCCUCAUCUAUAUAACUUGGGUGCUCGAAUUGUAUUUUUCCUUGAAAUAUUAGUUACAUUUUAGCACUGGUUUUAGACCGGGAGAUAUUGGAGUUUGUUACAUUCUGGUGCUUCCCCAAUUCAGGAUUUGUAAAGUGAAAUUAUUUACAUUAAAAAACUUUUUUUCUAAUGUUACUUAUUUUUGAGAGAGAGAGAGAGAGAGAGAGAGAGAGAGCGUGAGCAGGGGAGGGGCAGAGAGAGAGAGGGAGACACAGAAUCGGAAGCAGGCUCCAGGCUCUGAGCCGUCAGCACGGAGCCCGACGCGGGGCUCGAACCCACAAACUGCGAGAUCAUGACCUGAGCCGAAGUCGGACACUCAACCGACUGAGCCACCCAGGCGCCCCUGAGUUAGUUAUUUACAUUUUUAACUAGUGACGAUCAUGCAGCCUUGGAUAGUGAAAAUUGGUACAGACUUUUUGGAGAGCUUUGGUCACACUUAGCAGAAUUUAGUGUAUAUACCAAUAACCCAGGAAUCUCACUUCUAGGAAGCUAUUCUAGCACAGAACAGUAUGAUCCCCUUGGGUGUCCCUGGUACCCUUUCCGAGAGGGUCGAGAGGUUAAAACAGUGUUCAUAUUACUACAAUUCUCAGAUGCUGUUUGCACUCUUUGCACUAAUGGUGCAAAAGUCAUGCAGGCUCCUUAGCGUGAAUCAAGGCUGCAGCACCUGACUGUCCUAGGAGCCAUCGUACCCUUCGUGCCGUGCACUCGCGAUGAGUACAAUACAAUGAAAUAAGAAUUUGGUUUUCACCGGAAUGUUCUCGAUGCAGUCGUAGAACAGGUUAAAUUUAUUCACUGUUGCCGCUCAUGGAGAUGGUUUUUCCCGUAGUCUGUGGGGUGAAAUGAGAAGGUGCACGUGAACGUCUCUGCUGUGCACUGAGGUAUGAUGGUUCUCUCUCCAGGAGAAGCAGAUGGGCCGUUCUUUGAGCUGCGUGCUGAACUAGCUGCGUUUUUCACCGACUGCCAUUUUUACUCUCAUUUUACUGCCACCGACAAACAACGGUUAUUCAGUCUAAAAAAAAAAAAAAAAAAGGAUAAAGGAGUCUUUCAAGAAAACAACAGGCAGUGUAUGUUGCCAGUGAUAAAACUUCAGCUUUCCAAUGAAAAUUAGGAUUUUGGAAAACUUGUAUCUGCUACUGUGGUGUAGAGAUCGGUGGUGAUAUUUACAGGUGCGGUGCUUUGAUAGCUUAUAAUGAAAUGUAUUAUUCAGAAAAUCUGCAUAAUUCAGUGAACCCAUUUUUUCUAAGUGAUCACUAUGUGGGAUCCUAAAAUCACACACAGGUAAAAAAUCCAUCCAGGGUGCAAGGUGGGCCAAUGGAUUUUAAUGUUACAAAAGUUCCCUGAUACAGUUUUAGGUUCUACAUCACAACUAACCUUUAAGAAACGACCACUUAAUGGCGUUUUGGUGUAGCUUCUAAGAAGAAUAAAUACAGUGAUCUAAAAAGGCUACUUUUUUGGUGGCCAACAGUUAUUUUCCAGUAAUAAAAAUGUUUUUAAAUGAAUAAAUUUUAGAAUUUCAGUUUAAAUUUCUUAAAAAAAAUUUUUUUUUAAUGUGUAUUUAUUUUUGAGACAGAGAGAGACAGAGCAUGAACGGGGGAGGGUCAGAGAGAGAGGGAGACACAGAAUCGGAAGCAGGCUCCAGGCUCUGAGCCGUCAGUCCAGAGCCUGACGCGGGGCUCGAACUCACGGACCGCGAGAUCGUGACCUGAGCCGAAGUCGGACGCUCAACCGACUGAGCCACCCAGGCGCCCC
Molecule: long non-coding RNA, 3422 nt
Organism: Panthera uncia (snow leopard)
Lineage: Eukaryota; Metazoa; Chordata; Mammalia; Carnivora; Felidae
Exons: 2
Source: RefSeq, a predicted model, not a curated record